Small nuclear RNA from Cyprinus carpio carpio, 128 nucleotides. The record is from Ensembl. Lineage: Eukaryota; Metazoa; Chordata; Actinopteri; Cypriniformes; Cyprinidae.
ACUUUCCCUGUCAGGGGGUUGAGAACUGUUCAAUAAGCAUAUAGUGAGAGCAGACGUGCUAACACCAUAUCAACACAAUUGCAUCACCUGACUUCUAGAAGACAGAUAAUGGUGCAAUUUUUGGAAAU